Molecule: transfer RNA, 71 nt
Filed under: Schistocephalus solidus
Lineage: Eukaryota; Metazoa; Platyhelminthes; Cestoda; Diphyllobothriidea; Diphyllobothriidae
Rfam family: tRNA
About the family: Transfer RNA (tRNA) molecules are approximately 80 nucleotides in length.
Source: Rfam by way of RNAcentral
AGACCCGUGGCUCAGUGGUAGAGCGUUAGGCUUAAAACCUAAUGAAAAAUUAUUGCAGGGUUUUAGGUCCA